Molecule: ribosomal RNA, 253 nt
Filed under: uncultured bacterium
Lineage: Bacteria
Description: partial 16S ribosomal RNA
Rfam family: Bacterial small subunit ribosomal RNA
Source: RNAcentral
UACAGAGGUGGCAAGCGUUGUUCGGAAUUACUGGGCGUAAAGGGCGCGUAGGCGGCUUGGUCAGUCCCGUGUGAAAUCCCUCGGCUCAACUGAGGAACUGCACGGGAAACUGCCUGGCUUGAGUUCGGGAGAGGGAAGCGGAAUUCCGGGUGUAGCGGUGAAAUGCGUAGAGAUCGGGAGGAAGGCCGGUGGCGAAGGCGGCGCUCUGGAACGUAUCUGACGCUGAGACACGAAAGCGUGGGGAGCAAACAGG